This is a small nucleolar RNA of Pipistrellus kuhlii (Kuhl's pipistrelle), 135 nucleotides long. RefSeq annotates it as small nucleolar RNA SNORA32. The transcript has a single exon. The record is from RefSeq and is a predicted model, not a curated record. NCBI's taxonomy places the organism in Eukaryota, Metazoa, Chordata, Mammalia, Chiroptera, Vespertilionidae.
UGGUCAUUACCAAGGCUUUUAGAAUGCAGUUUCUCAUUUGCCAUGGACAUGACCACAAAACAUUUCCCCAAUAGAUUUGUCCCCCCCCCCCCCCGCUAUGUUAAUAGCAUAGAAUUCAGCCUACUGGGAAUAAAU